Molecule: unclassified non-coding RNA, 338 nt
Filed under: soil metagenome
Description: partial contains 5.8S ribosomal RNA, internal transcribed spacer 2, and large subunit ribosomal RNA
Rfam family: 5.8S ribosomal RNA (bases 1-120)
Source: RNAcentral
GAUGAAGAACGCAGCGAAAUGCGAUAAGUAAUGUGAAUUGCAGAGUUCAGUGAAUCAUCGAAUCUUUGAACGCACAUUGCGCCCGUUAGUAUUCUGGCGGGCAUGCCUGUCUGAGCGUCAUUUCAACCCUCAAGCAACUUCUGCUUGGUGUUGGGGAUCGGCCGUCAAACGCCGCCCCCGAAAUCUAUUGGCGAUCUCGCUGUAGCUUCCUAUGCGUAGUAGUAACAUCUCGCAUCUGGAGAGCGGCGCGGUCAUGCCGUAAAACACCCAACUUCUCAGGUUGACCUCAGAUCAGGUAGGAAUACCCGCUGAACUUAAGCAUAUCAAUAAGCGGAGGA